RNAcentral lists this ribosomal RNA (497 nucleotides) under uncultured bacterium. RNAcentral's name for it is "partial 16S ribosomal RNA". It matches the Rfam family "Bacterial small subunit ribosomal RNA", at positions 28 to 507 of the family's 1533-position model. The record is from RNAcentral.
GAUGAACGCUGGCGGCGUGCCUAAUACAUGCAAGUCGAGCGAACAGACGAGGAGCUUGCUCCUUUGACGUUAGCGGCGGACGGGUGAGUAACACGUGGGUAACCUACCUAUAAGACUGGGAUAACUUCGGGAAACCGGAGCUAAUACCGGAUAAUAUUUCGAACCGCAUGGUUCGAUAGUGAAAGAUGGCUUUGCUAUCACUUAUAGAUGGACCUGCGCCGUAUUAGCUAGUUGGUAAGGUAACGGCUUACCAAGGCAACGAUACGUAGCCGACCUGAGAGGGUGAUCGGCCACACUGGAACUGAGACACGGUCCAGACUCCUACGGGAGGCAGCAGUAGGGAAUCUUCCGCAAUGGGCGAAAGCCUGACGGAGCAACGCCGCGUGAGUGAUGAAGGUCUUCGGAGCGUAAAACUCUGUUAUUAGGGAAGAACAAACGUGUAAGUAACUGUGCACGUCUUGACGGUACCUAAUCAGAAAGCCACGGCUAACUACGUG